RNAcentral lists this ribosomal RNA (151 nucleotides) under Frankia sp. AgP1R1. Its description in RNAcentral is "partial 23S ribosomal RNA". Lineage: Bacteria; Bacillati; Actinomycetota; Actinomycetes; Frankiales; Frankiaceae. The record is from RNAcentral.
GGAUCUCAGGCGUAGUCGAUGGACAACGGGUUGAUAUUCCCGUACCGGCGCUGACGCGCCCAUGCUGAACCUGGUUGUGCUAACCAUCUGAUCGGAUGUGUCUUUUCGGAGAUGUGUCUGGGAGGGUGGGAUCCCGGCUGGUAGUAGGCAA